CUUAAGGUAGAUGGGGUGUCUAAAUUAUAAUCCAUAGAAUCUUUUAAUAAUUUGCCAAAAUGAAGUUCAUAUCCUGCUUGUUUAAAAACAUUAAUAAAAAGAAUGGGUCACCGGACUUAUUUUCACGCUACAGGUUGUUCAAAAUUGUCAAGAUUUUGUAUAGAUUAUGCAUGGAAAACCCAUUUUCCGCCAUAAAACGCAAACCACACCAUAGAAUUUUGAGAUAAAAUAUGAGAAGAUAGCUUCAAUAUUAUGCUUUCAGAUAAGAAAAAGAA
RNAcentral lists this long non-coding RNA (275 nucleotides) under Mytilus galloprovincialis (Mediterranean mussel). The record is from RNAcentral. Lineage: Eukaryota; Metazoa; Mollusca; Bivalvia; Mytilida; Mytilidae.